GCAGCACGGGAGCAAUCCUGGUGGCGAGUGGCGAACGGGUGAGUAAUAUGUCGGAACGUGCCCAGUCGUGGGGGAUAACGUAGCGAAAGCUACGCUAAUACCGCAUACGAUCUACGGAUGAAAGCGGGGGACUCGUAAGGGCCUCGCGCGAUUGGAGCGGCCGAUAUCAGAUUAGGUUGUUGGUGAGGUAAAAGCUCACCAAGCCUGCGAUCUGUAGCUGGUCUGAGAGGACGACCAGCCACACUGGAACUGAGACACGGUCCAGACUCCUACGGGAGGCAGCAGUGGGGAAUUUUGGACAAUGGACGCAAGUCUGAUCCAGCAAUGCCGCGUGCAGGACGAAGGCCUUCGGGUUGUAAACUGCUUUUGUACGGAACGAAACGGUCUGCUUUAAUACAGUGGGCUAAUGACGGUACCGUAAGAAUAAGCACCGGCUAACUACGUGCCAGCAGCCGCGGUAAUACGUAGGGUGCGAGCGUUAAUCGGAAUUACUGGGCGUAAAGCGUGCGCAGGCGGUUAUAUAAGACAGAUGUGAAAUCCCCGGGCUCAACCUGGGACCUGCAUUUGUGACUGUAUAGCUAGAGUACGGUAGAGGGGGAUGGAAUUCCGCGUGUAGCAGUGAAAUGCGUAGAUAUGCGGAGGAACACCGAUGGCGAANGCAAUCCCCUGGACCUGUACUGACGCUCAUGCACGAAAGCGUGNGGAGCAAACAGGAUUAGAUACCCUGGUAGUCCACGCCCUAAACGAUGUCAACUGGUUGUUGGGUCUUCACUGACUCAGUAACGAAGCUAACGCGUGAAGUUGACCGCCUGGGGAGUACGGCCGCAAGGUUGAAACUCAAAGGAAUUGACGGGGANCCGCACAAGCGGUGGAUGANGUNGNUUUAAUUCGAUGCNNCGCGAAAAANCNUUACCCACCUUUGAC
RNAcentral lists this ribosomal RNA (924 nucleotides) under uncultured bacterium. RNAcentral describes it as "bacterial SSU rRNA". It matches the Rfam family "Bacterial small subunit ribosomal RNA", at positions 69 to 985 of the family's 1533-position model. The record is from RNAcentral.